AUACGAAGGGUGCAAGCGUUACUCGGAAUUACUGGGCGUAAAGCGUGCGUAGGUGGUCGUUUAAGUCCGUUGUGAAAGCCCUGGGCUCAACCUGGGAACUGCAGUGGAUACUGGGCGACUAGAAUGUGGUAGAGGGUAGCGGAAUUCCUGGUGUAGCAGUGAAAUGCGUAGAGAUCAGGAGGAACAUCCAUGGCGAAGGCAGCUACCUGGACCAACAUUGACACUGAGGCACGAAAGCGUGGGGAGCAAACAGGAUUAGAUACCCUGGUAGUCCACGCCCUAAACGAUGCGAACUGGAUGUUGGGUGCAAUUUGGCACGCAGUAUCGAAGCUAACGCGUUAAGUUCGCCGCCUGGGGAGUACGGUCGCAAGACUGAA
This 377-nucleotide ribosomal RNA is filed under the name uncultured bacterium. RNAcentral's name for it is "bacterial SSU rRNA". It matches the Rfam family "Bacterial small subunit ribosomal RNA", at positions 523 to 898 of the family's 1533-position model. RNAcentral also lists the same sequence under 1 other name. The record is from RNAcentral.